UUCAAAACAUUUGCAUUCCACAUUUUCCAAAUUGAGUUUUUGAAUAUAAUCUCAUUAUGGGGUGCCUUAAAGCUAGUGGAAUCGCAAUUACCAUAAUCAGUGUUCUCUUCACGCAUUUUCUUUUUAUCGUAUACGGCAUUGAGGGGACAUUUCUUUGGAAUCUGAAAAACAAUUUUUUUAAUUCAUCUAUGGUUCUUCUGGGUAACGGCUCUAAUUUAAUUUUUAACAUGUUUGCCUUGACACGCAUAAUCAAAAACGAUCCUCUCGGAGUCAAACUAUGGAUCGCUUAUUCAAUAGCUCUUGCUUCGCUUCUUAUCUUGGCUAUUUUUUAUAAAAUACUUUCAGGAAUAACAUAUGAAAUUUGUUUCGUUUUUAUAAUUUACCUCUUUAUUUCAACUAUUAUAAUGGGUUUUCUUCAAAGGAAUCUUCAAAGAAAACAGAAUGUGACAUUUGAGACUCAAAUCGAUGACUCUUAAAGCUAAUGAAAAUAAUGAUAUCAUCUUUACAAUUACAACUUAUUUUCAACAUUUCAAUAAAAGC
Molecule: long non-coding RNA, 540 nt
Organism: Drosophila albomicans
Lineage: Eukaryota; Metazoa; Arthropoda; Insecta; Diptera; Drosophilidae
Exons: 3
Source: RefSeq, a predicted model, not a curated record